RNAcentral lists this ribosomal RNA (253 nucleotides) under uncultured bacterium. RNAcentral's name for it is "partial 16S ribosomal RNA". It matches the Rfam family "Bacterial small subunit ribosomal RNA", at positions 524 to 776 of the family's 1533-position model. The record is from RNAcentral.
UACGGGGGGGGCAAGCGUUGUUCGGAAUUACUGGGCGUAAAGGGCUCGUAGGCGGCCAACUAAGUCAGACGUGAAAUCCCUCGGCUUACCCGAGGACCUGCAUCCCAAACUGCUUGGCUUGAGUAUGGGAGAGGAUGAGGGAAUUCCUGGUGUAGCGGUGAAAUGCGUAGAUAUCAGGAGGAACACCGGUGGCGAAAGCGCUCAUCUGGCCCAAUACUGACGCUGAGGCGCGAAAGCUAGGGGAGCAAACGGG